AAUGCGUAGAGAUUGGGAGGAACACCAGUGGCGAAGGCGACUUACUGGACUGUAACUGACGCUGAGGCGCGAAAGUGUGGGGAGCAAACAGGAUUAGAUACCCUGGUAGUCCACACUGUAAACGAUGAAUGCUAGGUGUAGGGGGUAUCGACCCCUUCUGUGCCGCAGUUAACACAAUAAGCAUUCCGCCUGGGGAGUACGGCCGCAAGGUUGAAACUCAAAGGAAUUGACGGGGGCCCGCACAAGCAGCGGAGCAUGUGGUUUAAUUCGACGCAACGCGAAGAACCUUACCAGGUCUUGACAUCCACUUAAAGCCAUAGAGAUAUGGUGUGAGCUUGCUCGAAGUGAGACAGGUGGUGCAUGGUUGUCGUCAGCUCGUGUCGUGAGAUGUUGGGUUAAGUCCCGCAACGAGCGCAACCCUUAUUUUCAGUUACUAACACGCGAUGGUGAGGACUCUGAAGAGACUGCCGGGGACAACUCGGAGGAAGGUGGGGACGACGUCAAAUCAUCAUGCCCCUUAUGACCUGGGCUACACACGUGCUACGGGUG
Molecule: ribosomal RNA, 549 nt
Filed under: uncultured bacterium
Lineage: Bacteria
Description: bacterial SSU rRNA
Rfam family: Bacterial small subunit ribosomal RNA
Source: RNAcentral